Molecule: ribosomal RNA, 497 nt
Filed under: uncultured bacterium
Lineage: Bacteria
Description: partial 16S ribosomal RNA
Rfam family: Bacterial small subunit ribosomal RNA
Source: RNAcentral
GAUGAACGCUGGCGGCGUGCCUAAUACAUGCAAGUCGAGCGAACGGACGAUAAGCUUGCUUCUCUGAUGUUAGCGGCGGACGGGUGAGUAACACGUGGAUAACCUACCUAUAAGACUGGGAUAACUUCGGGAAACCGUAGCUAAUACCGGAUAAUAUUUUGAACCGCAUGGUUCAAAAGUGAAAGACGGUCUUGCUGUCACUUAUAGAUGGAUCCGCGCUGCAUUAGCUAGUUGGUAAGGUAACGGCUUACCAAGGCAACGAUGCAUAGCCGACCUGAGAGGGUGAUCGGCCACACUGGAACUGAGACACGGUCCAGACUCCUACGGGAGGCAGCAGUAGGGAAUCUUCCGCAAUGGGCGCAAGCCUGACGGAGCAACGCCGCGUGAGUGAUGAAGGUCUUCGGAUCGUAAAACUCUGUUAUUAGGGAAGAAAAUAUGUGUAAGUAACUGUGCACAUCUUGACGGUACCUAAACAGAAAGCCACGGCUAACUACGUG